Molecule: ribosomal RNA, 520 nt
Filed under: uncultured Glomus
Lineage: Eukaryota; Fungi; Glomeromycota; Glomeromycetes; Glomerales; Glomeraceae
Description: SSU rRNA
Rfam family: Eukaryotic small subunit ribosomal RNA
Source: RNAcentral
AGCAGCCGCGGUAAUUCCAGCUCCAAUAGCGUAUAUUAAAGUUGUUGCAGUUAAAAAGCUCGUAGUUGAAUUUCGGGGUUAGUAGGUUGGUCAUGCCUCUGGUAUGUACUGGUCUCACUGAUUCCUCCUUCCUGAUGAGCCGUAAUGCCAUUAAUUUGGUGUUGCGGGGAAUUUGGACUGUUACUUUGAAAAAAUUAGAGUGUUUAAAGCAGGCUCACGCUUGAAUACAUUAGCAUGGAAUAACGAAAUAGGACGUUUGAUUCUAUUUUGUUGGUUUCUAGGAUCGACGUAAUGAUUAAUAGGGAUAGUUGGGGGCAUUAGUAUUUAAUUGUCAGAGGUGAAAUUCUUGGAUUUAUUGAAGACUAACUACUGCGAAAGCAUUUGCCAAGGAUGUUUUCAUUAAUCAAGAACGAAAGUUAGGGGAUCGAAGACGAUCAGAUACCGUCGUAGUCUUAACCAUAAACUAUGCCGACUAGGGAUCGGAUGAUGUUAAUUUUUAAUGACUCAUUCGGCGCCUUAC